Molecule: long non-coding RNA, 997 nt
Organism: Patella vulgata (common limpet)
Lineage: Eukaryota; Metazoa; Mollusca; Gastropoda; Patellidae
Exons: 5
Source: RefSeq, a predicted model, not a curated record
GUGAAAAAUGUAAAUCACGGCCUCGUCCCUUGUUAGAGCCAGAAGGCGCUUCAACAUCAGUGAAAGACGGUCGUGUAUUUGUGUUAUAAAGUAAUCCACCAAGCCCAUUACGUCAUCAAUAUGUCUGAUCAACGCGGCCUUGUCCCUUGUUAGAGCCAGAAGGCGCCUCAACAUCGGUGAAAGACGGUCGUGUAUUUGUGUUAUAAAGUAAUCGAUCACGCCCAUUACGUCAUCAAUAUGUCUGAUCAAUCAGAAUCUACUAAAACCAACCCUGUUACAUAUCAUUUUAACGGCACCAGUUAUGUACAGCUUGGUAAUCACAAUGUCGUCGAUCACCAAUUUACUAAUCAACUAAAAGAAGAAGUGGACGCCAUGAAAUAUGAACUCGCUAUUAGGGACGAUAAAAUAGAGACAUUAACGCGUGGAAUGAACCAACUGACAGAGAGAGUGAGGAUUCUAGAAGAUGAAAAAGUGGUAAAAGAAACUGACGUUAAUAAUAAAAAUUCAGACAAGACAGAUGAAAUGAUUACUCUCCAGAUAUUCUUCUAUUCCAGUCCUUGGUGUGGAGAUGUGACUAUAAUUAUUAGUAGAAAUCAAACAGUGAAUGAAUUAGAGAAGAUGAUACUGGAGAAGAAGCUUUUAAAGUAUGCUUGUUAUAUUGAUUCUAUCUACAGUGAUGAUGAUAAACAGUUCAAGUACCACUACAAACAACACAACAAACAUCUCUCAUUAUCACACUUUAAUAUAAAAGAUAGAGAUAGGGUCAACUGUUGGUGGUUCUAGUCUGUUGAUGGUGUAUAAAAUAUUAAAUCAUAUAUACUAACUAUAAAACAAUAUUAAACAUUUAACUUGAACAUUGAAUUCUAUCUAUAUAUACUAACUAUAAAACAAUAUUAAACAUUUAACUAGAACAUAUUAUACUGUAUAAAGUAAUGAUAUAGUUUGUAUGAUAUUAUACUGUAUAAAUAUAGUCUAGUAAUAAAAUAUUAAAUAUUUA